CUGCUGUCAAAGAAACUGCUUCUUUGAAUUAGUUACCAUUUACACAUACAUAAUACCAAAACAUAAUCUUUACUAACCAUUUCAAUAGCUAAUCUUAGCCAUAUCAUUUGAACAUGCUCAAGAUGAUUAAGACUCUAUACAUGCCAUAGUUCAAACAUUUUGAAAAGCACAUAAUACCGAGAUGGCUAUGAUAGUGUGAUACGAGCUCUGACGGUCCACUAUUCGAUCAAGUUCAAAUCACUAUAAAACAAAGGAAAGAAAGAGAUGUGUAAGCUAUAAAUAGCUUAGUAAGUUACAUGUAAACAAUAAUUACUCAUUUAAUAAUUAACACUUUUAACAUAUAACUAAUCAAAACAUUUCUUAGCAAUUUCAAUCACUUACACAUGCACAAUCUUACCAAUUCACUUGCAUAUACAUUUUCACACUUAACAUUUCAUAUUCACUUUAAUUCAUUAUUAAUCCCGUUGAACAGUUGGAAUAUACACGGAUACGUAGAGAUUUAGCACAUAAGUGCCACACUGAUAUGUAGCCGAAGCUACCACUGAUAUGUAGCCGAAGCUACCACUGAAAUGUAGCCGAAGCUACCACUGAUCAAUAACACUGGAAAUGUCCACGGGCCUGCUCACACAAGCUGUCAGGUGUCUGCAACACAUGCUAGAUCACCCAACACCCGGGACUCACUGUAACACUGUAACACUGGUCUCUAGUGACAUGUCACUUGUAUCCAAUUCUAUUCCUAAGUUCAACCGGGAAUUUACACUUAACACUUUAUUACUUGAAUAAUUCAUGAACAAUUUUCCUUCCACAUUCAAUAUUAAUUCACAUAUCAAAUAUAAUUCACAAUUUAUAAAAAUAUAACUAUUAUUUACACGUAACUUACCUCGGAUGCAAAACGACUAUUUUUGUAAUUUAGUCGAUAACUUUCUCUUUUCCCCGAUCACUUCCACUAUUUCUUCUUUCUUGAUCUAUAUUAACACAAUUUAAUACAUUUUAUCAACAUUUCAUUCAAAUACAAUUCAUACACAACAUUUUGGCAAAUUUACAUUUUUCCCCAAAACUUUUCAAAAAUUCCACUUUUGUCCCUAAGCUCGUAAAAAUCAAAUUCACUAAAUUUCUUAAAUUUCAAACUUCACUAAAUCAUAUUUCAUGCUCAUAACAGCCCUCAAUUUCACAAAAUCAUAACUUUAUGCACACUUUACCAUCUUUCACAAUUUAGCCCUUUUUCAACAAUUUCAUCAAAAUUCAUCUAGUAAAACUUGUAAUUAACACUUCAAUCAUUCAUUAUCUAACAUCACUAAUCAAUUUACAAUUAUAUCAUGAAUGGGUCAAUUUUCAAACUUUAAUUUCAUUUAAAUUAAAUAGUAGAAACAUGAAAUUCAAGCUUCAAUAAGCAUAAAAAUACGAAAAUAAUCAAAAACGGGGCAAGAAAUCACUUACAAUUGAGCUUAGGAAGUUCAAGAACCCUAGCUAUGGUGACAUGAAUUUUUUUGGCAGCAAACGUCUGAUUUUAAGAAGAUGAACACUUGUUUUCAUCUUUAUUUUGUCUUUUAUUCAAUUUGGACAAAAAUGCCCUUGACCCAUUACUUAGAUAUUUUUCUAGAAAUACCCUUUUGUGUCCAUAACACUAAUUCAUGGUCUAAUUGCCACAUAAACACUUCCAAUUUCAUGCAAUAAUUCAAUUAAGUCAUUUAAUCACUAAUUAGACACACUUUGCAUUUUUCUCGAUUUAGUCCUAAAAAUUCAAUUAGGCACUAAAUCAUUAAAAUUUUCUAUCCAUAUUUUCACACAAUAUUUCAAUCAAUCAAUAAUUAAUAAAAAUUUAUAAAAUUAAACUAUUUCACUUCGGAUUUGUGGUUACGAAACCACUAUUCCGAUUAGGCCCUAUUUCGGGCUAUCACAAUAGCAUCUAAAAUCAAUCCCUAAACAUGUAGUAUAUUGACAUAAAAUCAAUAUGCCCUCAGGCAUCUUAAUUGACCAAACAAUCAUGUUUAACCACAUAUACCAUGUAACCAAGUAAUCAACUAAUUUUUAUGUCUAAUCGCAUUUGUAGAAGCCCAAUUUCACCCGGGCCUAUUACAAACAAAUAAAACACAAAAUAACCCAUUUCCAACAGACCCAAACCCAUUACCAAAAUACCCAAACUAAACCCACCUAAACAGGCCCAAUAGCCUAACCUCGACCCAAACCCAAAAAAUUUUAGGGUUUCAGACCCCUAACUCUCCCUAGCCUAGCGCCGCAACCACCCUUGGUCUUCUGCUCACCUGCUCUGCCAGCAACCAUCGCCAACUGCCACUGUCAUCUCCAUCCACGUGCGCUGAUCCCUGCAAACAAAUCAAGGCAGACAUGACAAGCAUAGGAAAUAGACUAGAAAUCUCAUGUAAAUCGGCUAUAAAGCCAAGAAUAUGUAUUGUAAAAUGGCCCUAUCUCUUUUUCACGAUUUCAAGAAAUAAAAAGUAAAAAAAACAGAUUCAAGGACUCUUUGUUUUCGGUAUAAGAUCUAAUUCCUUUUUUUAUUUUUAUUUUUUUCUUCCUUUUGAAACUGUUUAUAUACAUACAUAUAUUUCUUUAGUUUUCUCUUUUAACUAUUAUACAUAUACAUUGAAAAAGAUUUACAAAAAGAAGAAGAAGAAAAAAGCGCACCUUUUCAACUUCCUGGCUAUUGCGGACGGCGGCGCCGUCGCCGGUGACAGGCGGCCUGCGCAACGGUGGUCGGCCGGAUCUCUGACCGGCAUCUGGAAAGGGGAGAGAGGGCUUGAGAGAAUUUUAGGUUUUUUUUAAAUAAAAGGCAGAAAAUGAAAUUUUUAAGAAAAAUUUGAUUUAUAUAGGCAUUCAAAACGGCACCGUUUUGGGCAUGCCUCUCUGGCACCAAAACGAUGCCGUUUUGCCUUUAAACCCGAUCCAAUCGACCCGACCCACUCCAAGAUCCGCGUGUUUUUUCUGUCAUGGGAUAUUUGCACCUUUGGCCCCUUCGCAUUUUCGAUUCGUUUCGAUUUUGUCCUUUUGGUUAUUUAUCUAUUUUAUAAAUUUGGCCCCGUUGUUUUGUCCGAUUUUUAAUCAGGUCCCUGACCUAUUUUCGCGCAGAAAAACGGACACGUGUCCAGAUUUUUUUUACCCAUUUGGUCCUUAGACUUUUGCGUUGUCCUUGUUUUAACCCUCAUUUAUUUAUUUUGUUGUAAUUUUACUCUUAAACUUCGUUUUAUUGUGAUUCGGUCCUUAAUUUACUAAUUUCUUUUAAUCCUACAUUUUGGUUAUUUAUUUAUUUGUUUUAAGGUUAUAUAUAUUAUUAUUUUAUAUAUUAUUAUCUAUGUUAAAUUGUUUAAUAUUAUUAAUUUCAAAUUGUCUCAUACAUUUUUAUAAUAUGUAUAUACACGUACAUACUUUUUAUUUAUUAAAUAUUUUUUU
This 3402-nucleotide long non-coding RNA is filed under the name Gossypium barbadense (sea-island cotton). RNAcentral describes it as "long non-coding RNA (GBAR_LNC020464)". The record is from RNAcentral. Lineage: Eukaryota; Viridiplantae; Streptophyta; Magnoliopsida; Malvales; Malvaceae.